GUCCACGCCGUAAACGAUGAUGCCAGCCGUUAGUGGGUUACUCACUAGUGGCGCAGCUAACGCUUUAAGCAUUCCGCCUGGGGAGUACGGUCGCAAGAUUAAAACUCAAAGGAAUUGACGGGGGCCCGCACAAGCGGUGGAGCAUGUGGUUUAAUUCGACGCAACGCGAAGAACCUUACCAGCCCUUGACAUCUCGGUCGCGGAUUCCAGAGACGGAAUCCUUCAGUUCGGCUGGACCGAAGACAGGUGCUGCAUGGCUGUCGU
RNAcentral lists this ribosomal RNA (264 nucleotides) under uncultured bacterium. RNAcentral's name for it is "partial 16S ribosomal RNA". It matches the Rfam family "Bacterial small subunit ribosomal RNA", at positions 793 to 1055 of the family's 1533-position model. The record is from RNAcentral.